GACGAACCGUGCGAACGUUGUUCGGAAUCACUGGGCUUAAAGGGCGCGUAGGCGGCUCGCGAGGUCGGGGGUGAAAUCCCGCAGCUUAACUGCGGAAGGGCCUCCGAUACCGGCGGGCUGGAGGAAGGUAGGGGUGCGCGGAGCUUCUGGUGGAGCGGUGAAAUGCGUUGAUAUCAGAAGGAACGCCGGCGGCGAAAGCGGCGCACUGGACCUUUUCUGACGCUGAGGCGCGAAAGCUAGGGGAGCAAACGGG
Molecule: ribosomal RNA, 253 nt
Filed under: uncultured bacterium
Lineage: Bacteria
Description: partial 16S ribosomal RNA
Rfam family: Bacterial small subunit ribosomal RNA
Source: RNAcentral